CGCAAAUUGCGCUCUUUGGUAUUCCGAAGAGCAUGCCUGUUUGAGUGUCAUAUAGCCCUCACCCUGACGGUUUCUUGACUGUCUGUUUGGUGGUUUGGACGUUCUGCCAGCUUCACGGCUGGCUUGUCUUAAAUGCAUUAGUGGGAGAAAACAUAAGCGUGAUAAGUCUUCGCUUUGAAAACGUUUGCCCUCACUCUAAAUAAAUCACAAUGACUCUGACCUCAAAUCAGGUAGGACUACCCGCUGAACUUAA
Molecule: unclassified non-coding RNA, 253 nt
Filed under: Derxomyces pseudohuiaensis
Lineage: Eukaryota; Fungi; Basidiomycota; Tremellomycetes; Tremellales; Bulleribasidiaceae
Description: partial contains 5.8S ribosomal RNA, internal transcribed spacer 2, and large subunit ribosomal RNA
Rfam family: 5.8S ribosomal RNA (bases 1-50)
Source: RNAcentral